GGACCGGGACGAUGCAGGAUGUCUUCCAUAGGGCGGGCACUCUCCCCAGUCGCAGACUAUUAUGAGAGUGGAAGAAAAAGACGUUGUGUAGUGUACUCCAAACAAGAGAAAACAUGCUGAAGUGUUUUUUUCCCCUCAUGCUGAGGUAUGUCAAGUCUUCGUAUUAUUCCACUCAGUUUUUUUCAUCACUGGAGGCUUUAUUGGACAUUAGAUGGGAGAGCCACUUGAAGAAUCCUAAAUACAAGUCUGUAGGAAAAUUCUGUAAUUCCCAAGAUAGCUUUUGGCUAAUACAUGACCUGACUCCUCCUGCAAAAAUUUUGGAAACACGAUGAUCCCAAUGUUAGGUAGAGUAGAAGAGUGCUAUAUAAGAACCAGUCCAUUUACCAUGACCUGAGCAUCCAUUCUAUCUAACAGUCACACAGAUUCAUAGGCCAAUGGGCAAAGUUAGUAUCUUAUCCAAGGGUAUUUUGCAUGAGACUGGGAGCAGCUAGGGAAUGAUCAAAUUGCCAAGUAGAAAAUGACCUGAUCUACUCCCCGAGCUGCAGCCCAGGCAGUGUGACAGCCACAAGUCAAGAAAUCCCAAAGCAAGAAAGAUAUCAUAGAUGAUAAAACACACUACACACUAGAUAAAGGGCAAGAGCAACUAGAGGAGUGUUAUAGAGUUUUUUAAAAAGUGUCACAGAAAAUUGGCCGAUGAAAAAAAAAAAUAAAUAAAUAAAAUCAAUUGUAGAAAAUAAAAUGAAAAAAUAAAAGAAACAAUAUAUGUAACAAAUUUCGAAACCAGGACAUUCAAAGGUAAUAGAUUAAUUUCCACCACAAGCUGAUCAGCUAACCUUAAGAGUACAAGCUUUACAACCUAAGCUGCUAUUACCCUUACCUCUUUUGUCCCAUCAUCCUUAAUGGCAAUACUUUCAAAAGGCCUAUCUGGGAACCAGUCACGGCAGAUGGCUGCCCCUCCCUUAGCUUGGUUCUGUUGGAGGUUUCCUCCUGUUAAAAGGGAGGUUUUCCUUCCCACUUACCUACUUAGUGCUUGCUCAUAGGGGGUUGAUUACUGGGGUUUGUCUGUAUUAUUGUAGGUUCUUUAUCUUACAAGAUUAAGCACUUUGAAGCAACUGUUGUUGUGAUUUGGUGCUUUAUAAAUAAAACUGAAUUGAAUUUAACUGAACACCAAACCAAUCAUUUUGGAUUCAGACUUCCUGUUUUACUUUGACAGUCUGUGGCUGUAUCCAAAUUCAGGGUCUGCAGCCUUACCGGUGUUUGCGUACGCAGCCUCAAGGGC
Long non-coding RNA from Astatotilapia calliptera (eastern happy), 1279 nucleotides. Lineage: Eukaryota; Metazoa; Chordata; Actinopteri; Cichliformes; Cichlidae. The record is from Ensembl.